UACCUUAGCAUAAAAUUAUCGUAUUGUUGGAUUUUUCACAAAAAUCAAAACGGCCGAAAUGGAAAGUCUAUACCUCUACUUAUCAUAUUUGGCACUUUUGUUUGAGUGGUUCUUGACCUUGCGUGUUUAUGCGAGCGGAUUGUUAUGGCUGCUUGGCAUUUCACAUUGCGCUUCUAAGACUAACUUCCUUUGAGGUAAAACGCACAAACAUUUCGAGCCGAUGUCGACACAUCGUGGUCGUCGACUACAAGAAAGUCGUCAUAUUCUGUAAGAACGUCGUCAAUAGUCUAAAAUUAUAAAGUUGUCUUCAAUUUGAUGCUACACUUGUGGGUUCCACAGAGUAUUCAAAAAUCGUGGGUACAGCAUCCUUCUUAAGGCGAAGCCGUCCUGCUGUCCAUCCUACUGAUUGCAUCGCUUCAAAAUUUUGCACGAAGCACGAACUCUCGAAAUGUUGCGAGAACAAUUUUGAGCUCAUUGUUGGCUUCCAAUUUUUGCGUCUGAUUUGUUCAAUCCAAAUAUCUCCCAUGCGCUUGUUUUCGGGAAACGAAAAAAAAAGAAACCUUUUGCUGCGUUUGGUGGUUCUUA
Long non-coding RNA from Xenia sp. Carnegie-2017, 585 nucleotides. RefSeq lists it as uncharacterized. The record is from RefSeq and is a predicted model, not a curated record. The transcript has 3 exons. Lineage: Eukaryota; Metazoa; Cnidaria; Anthozoa; Malacalcyonacea; Xeniidae.